Molecule: transfer RNA, 77 nt
Filed under: Hordeum vulgare
Lineage: Eukaryota; Viridiplantae; Streptophyta; Magnoliopsida; Poales; Poaceae
Description: tRNA-Thr
Source: RNAcentral
GCAUCGAAGCAGUAGCAGAGUGGUAGUGGUCUUUUGGUGCAAGUGACUAGUCGUGGGUUCGAAUCCCCCUCGGUGCA